CCCUUAGAUGUUCUGGGCCGCACGCGCGCUACACUGAUGCAUUCAACGAGUCUAAAACCUGGUCUGAUAGGGCUGGGUAAUCUUUUGAAAGUGCAUCGUGAUUGGGAUAGAUGAUUGCAAUUCUUCAUCUUCAACGAGGAAUGCCUAGUAAACGCAAGUCAUCAGCUUGCAUUGAUUACGUCCCUGCCCUUUGUACACACCGCCCGUCGCUCCUACCGAUUGAAUGAUCCGAUGAAUACCAUGGAUUGAGAGUUCGAAUAGGUUCGCCUAUUUCAGCUUCUCGGGAAGUGGAGUAAAUCUUAUCAUUUAGAGGAAGGAGAAGUCGUAACA
Molecule: ribosomal RNA, 330 nt
Filed under: uncultured eukaryote
Lineage: Eukaryota
Description: partial 18S ribosomal RNA
Rfam family: Eukaryotic small subunit ribosomal RNA
Source: RNAcentral